This 486-nucleotide ribosomal RNA is filed under the name uncultured bacterium. Its description in RNAcentral is "partial 16S ribosomal RNA". It matches the Rfam family "Bacterial small subunit ribosomal RNA", at positions 30 to 507 of the family's 1533-position model. The record is from RNAcentral.
AUUGAACGCUGGCGGCAUGCCUUACACAUGCAAGUCGAACGGCAGCACAGGUGCUUGCACCUGGUGGCGAGUGGCGAACGGGUGAGUAAUACAUCGGAACAUGUCCUGUAGUGGGGGAUAGCCCGGCGAAAGCCGGAUUAAUACCGCAUACGAUCUACGGAUGAAAGCGGGGGACCUUCGGGCCUCGCGCUAUAGGGUUGGCCGAUGGCUGAUUAGCUAGUUGGUGGGGUAAAGGCCUACCAAGGCGACGAUCAGCAGCUGGUCUGAGAGGACGACCAGCCACACUGGGACUGAGGCACGGCCCAGACUCCUACGGGAGGCAGCAGUGGGGAAUUUUGGACAAUGGGCGAAAGCCUGAUCCAGCAAUGCCGCGUGUGUGAAGAAGGCCUUCGGGUUGUAAAGCACUUUUGUCCGGAAAGAAAUCCUUGGCCCUAAUACGGUCGGGGGAUGACGGUACCGGAAGAAUAAGCACCGGCUAACUACGUG